UAAGACAGAGGCCUCAAGCGUUAGGCGGAAUCACUGGGCUUAAAGCGUGUGUAGGCGGAUCGUUAAGUGUCUUGUGAAAUCCCACGGCUCACCCGUGGAACUGCUGGGCAUACUGGCGAUCUUGGGCCAACUAGGGGCAGCCGGAACAAGCGGUGGAGCGGUGAAAUGCGUAGAUAUCGCUUGGAACGCCGAAGGUGAAAACAGGCUGCUGGGGUUGCGCCGACGCUGAGACACGAAAGCCAGGGGAGCAAACGGGA
RNAcentral lists this ribosomal RNA (257 nucleotides) under uncultured prokaryote. RNAcentral's name for it is "partial 16S ribosomal RNA". It matches the Rfam family "Bacterial small subunit ribosomal RNA", at positions 521 to 777 of the family's 1533-position model. The record is from RNAcentral.